AGACUUUCACGCAGUUUUGGUGCUCGUGCGCGAGCUUCUUUCGCGCACAGUUAAACGGGAAGCAGGAAGCGCCCGGCUUUUUUCUAAGGAAAGCACGCGCCAACCUGCGCUGCCCCCGCAACGGUAAGCGACUGGCGGCAUCGGCAAUAUCGAUUCCGCGCAUUGCGCUAAAGGCCACUGUCAUAAGCAUGGCAGGAAGGCCGCGCAAUGAAGCCGCAAGCCCGGAUACCGGCCAGACUUUCGCGAGGACC
This 251-nucleotide non-coding RNA is filed under the name Burkholderia sp. The record is from RNAcentral. Lineage: Bacteria; Pseudomonadati; Pseudomonadota; Betaproteobacteria; Burkholderiales; Burkholderiaceae. RNAcentral also lists the same sequence under 1 other name.